AGAGUUUGAUCAUGGCUCAGAUUGAACGCUGGCGGCAGGCCUAACACAUGCAAGUCGAGCGCGAAAGGCCUUCGGGCUGAGUAGAGCGGCGGACGGGUGAGUAACGCGUAGGAAUCUACCUGGUAGUGGGGGACAACUUGGGGAAACUCAAGCUAAUACCGCAUACGCCCCAUGGGGGAAAGCGGGGGACCUUCGGGCCUCGCGCUAUCAGAUGAGCCUGCGUAGGAUUAGCUAGUUGGUGGGGUAAAGGCCCACCAAGGCGACGAUCCUUAGCUGGUCUGAGAGGAUGAUCAGCCACACUGGGACUGAGACACGGCCCAGACUCCUACGGGAGGCAGCAGUGGGGAAUAUUGCGCAAUGGGGGCAACCCUGACGCAGCCAUGCCGCGUGUGUGAAGAAGGCCUUCGGGUUGUAAAGCACUUUCAACGGGGAAGAAAAGCUCACCGUUAAUAGCGGUGAGCCGUGACAUUACCUGUAGAAGAAGCACCGGCUAACUCCGUGCCAGCAGCCGCGGUAAUACGGAGGGUGCGAGCGUUAAUCGGAAUUACUGGGCGUAAAGCGCGCGUAGGCGGUUUGUUAAGUCAGCUGUGAAAGCCCCGGGCUCAACCUGGGAACUGCAGUUGAUACUGGCCGACUAGAGUACGAGAGAGGGAGGUAGAAUUCCAUGUGUAGCGGUGAAAUGCGUAGAUAUAUGGAGGAAUACCGGUGGCGAAGGC
This 716-nucleotide ribosomal RNA is filed under the name uncultured bacterium. RNAcentral describes it as "bacterial SSU rRNA". It matches the Rfam family "Bacterial small subunit ribosomal RNA", at positions 8 to 722 of the family's 1533-position model. The record is from RNAcentral.